GUUAGGAAUAUUGGACAAUGGGCGAAAGCCUGAUCCAGCCAUGCCGCGUGAACGAUGAAGGCCUUCGGGUUGUAAAGUUCUUUAGCCGAUGAUUAUAAUGACUGUAGUCGGAAAAUAAGCCCCGGCUAACUUCGUGCCAGCAGCCGCGGUAAUACGAAGGGGGCGAGCGUUAUUCGGAAUCACUGGGCGUAAAGCGUGCGUAGGCGGUUUUGUAAGUUAGGAGUGAAAGCCCAGGGCUCAACCUUGGAAUUGCUCUUAAAACUGCAAGGCUCGAAUCUCGGAGAGGAUAGCGGAAUUUCCAGUGUAGCAGUGAAAUGCGUAGAUAUUGGAAGGAACACCAGUGGCGUAAGCGUCUAUCUGGACGAGUAUUGACGCUGAGGCACGAAAGCGUGGGGAUCAAACAGGAUUAGAAACCCGUGUAGUCC
Molecule: ribosomal RNA, 425 nt
Filed under: uncultured bacterium
Lineage: Bacteria
Description: partial 16S ribosomal RNA
Rfam family: Bacterial small subunit ribosomal RNA
Source: RNAcentral